RNAcentral lists this ribosomal RNA (402 nucleotides) under Brucella melitensis. RNAcentral describes it as "partial 16S ribosomal RNA". It matches the Rfam family "Bacterial small subunit ribosomal RNA", at positions 355 to 774 of the family's 1533-position model. The record is from RNAcentral. RNAcentral also lists the same sequence under 1 other name. Lineage: Bacteria; Pseudomonadati; Pseudomonadota; Alphaproteobacteria; Hyphomicrobiales; Brucellaceae.
UGGGGAAUAUUGGACAAUGGGGGCAACCCUGAUCCAGCAAUGCCGCGUGAGUGAUGAAGGCCUUAGGGUUGUAAAGCUCUUUUACCCGAGAUGAUAAUGACAGUAUCGGGAGAAUAAGCUCCGGCUAACUCCGUGCCAGCAGCCGCGGUAAUACGGAGGGAGCUAGCGUUGUUCGGAAUUACUGGGCGUAAAGCGCACGUAGGCGGCGAUUUAAGUCAGAGGUGAAAGCCCGGGGCUCAACCCCGGAACUGCCUUUGAGACUGGAUUGCUUGAAUCCUGGAGAGGUGAGUGGAAUUCCGAGUGUAGAGGUGAAAUUCGUAGAUAUUCGGAAGAACACCAGUGGCGAAGGCGGCUCACUGGACAGGUAUUGACGCUGAGGUGCGAAAGCGUGGGGAGCAAACA